Molecule: long non-coding RNA, 631 nt
Filed under: Prunus dulcis (almond)
Lineage: Eukaryota; Viridiplantae; Streptophyta; Magnoliopsida; Rosales; Rosaceae
Description: sRNA ncRNA
Source: RNAcentral
CCCCACUAAGAAAAAUGAACUGAAAGAUCCAACAGUGUACCAGAUGCACAAUCCAACAGGCGACUUCCAAUUAAGUAAAAUUUAACUGCAUCCAAGUCCUUUUUUUUGGGUCUUACCAAGUCCUUUUUCUUUGUGGGGUUUCUUUCUGGUAGUUGGGAGUUGGUGUGUGCAAUUUUACACUGUUUUCUUCGUCGACAUAAAGGUUCGUGUAGUUUUGCAAUGAGGUCCUUAUAGUUGGGUUUCAUUUGCAAUUGAGGACAUGUUUAUAAUUUGGUGAUUCUUUUAAAACAGAAAGCGUCAUCGUGUAAGGCUGUCGUGGAAAUAUUAAUACGUGGAAAGAUCAUUUUAUCCCUUUGUCGCAAAAUAUCCCCGUUAGCCUAGUGUCUUGUCUAGUCGACCGACUCAUUUUGAUUCCUUCUCCAUAAUAAGUAUUCAAUUCUACUAAAGUAUGAUGACUUGGACUUUCUAGGCACCGCAUAUAAUUUUGGCAGAAAACCCCCAUGUGCAGUGCAGCCUUUCUCUCAAUGUUCCAUGCGCGCAUCACCUGUCAUUUUUGUCAAGGGGUUUGUGUUGGUUUUUACAAAGCAUUGCAAACAUAUUUGAGUUAGAAUGUCUCAUAUUGAAAAAUUAG